GAUGAACGCUGGCGGCGUGCCUAAUACAUGCAAGUCGAGCGAACGGACGAGAAGCUUGCUUCUCUGAUGUUAGCGGCGGACGGGUGAGUAACACGUGGAUAACCUACCUAUAAGACUGGGAUAACUUCGGGAAACCGGAGCUAAUACCGGAUAAUAUUUUGAACCGCAUGGUUCAAAAGUGAAAGACGGUCUUGCUGUCACUUAUAGAUGGAUCCGCGCUGCAUUAGCUAGUUGGUAAGGUAACGGCUUACCAAGGCAACGAUGCAUAGCCGACCUGAGAGGGUGAUCGCCCACACUGGAACUGAGACACGGUCCAGACUCCUACGGGAGGCAGCAGUAGGGAAUCUUCCGCAAUGGGCGAAAGCCUGACGGAGCAACGCCGCGUGAGUGAUGAAGGUCUUCGGAUCGUAAAACUCUGUUAUUAGGGAAGAACAUAUGUGUAAGUAACUGUGCACAUCUUGACGGUACCUAACCAGAAAGCCACGGCUAACUACGUG
This 497-nucleotide ribosomal RNA is filed under the name uncultured bacterium. RNAcentral describes it as "partial 16S ribosomal RNA". It matches the Rfam family "Bacterial small subunit ribosomal RNA", at positions 28 to 507 of the family's 1533-position model. The record is from RNAcentral.